RNAcentral lists this long non-coding RNA (394 nucleotides) under Anser brachyrhynchus (Pink-footed goose). RNAcentral's name for it is "lncRNA (ENSABRG00000019188.1)". The record is from RNAcentral. Lineage: Eukaryota; Metazoa; Chordata; Aves; Anseriformes; Anatidae.
GGUGAAAGCUGCCUUCUCAUUACAGCCAGUUCCUUCCUGGUUCCUAACAGCCAGCACCGGAGGUCAUUUUCCUAUAGAGCUCUGCUAGGGUGAGGAAAGCAAGCUCUUCUGGUCACGAUUUCUUCAGAUUGAGGUGGAAUUUUGGCUCAUGGAGAUCUGAUGUGAUAGUGCUCGUGGGGUUGUGUUCAGACUUAGAUGACAUCAUCUCCUUGUGCUUACAGAUGAUUUUACUAUAGGUUUUAACUUACGCAGAAGUGGACCAUGUGUUUAGGUUUUUGCUUUCUUUAUGCCAUCUAGGACUUCAUUUGGAAACUUGAUCUGAAAAAAAAUGGGUGAAGAGUGAUACAGCUUCUAAAAGUUCUGAAUUAUUAAACUUAAAUUUUGUUUACUUUUU